UACGAACUGUGCAAACGUUAUUCGGAUUUACUGGGCGUAAAGGGCGCGUAGGCGGUCGUGACAAGUCACUUGUGAAAUCUCCGGGCUUAACUCGGAACGGUCAAGUGAUACUGUCGGACUAGAGUACAGAAGGGGCAACUGGAAUUCUCGGUGUAGCGGUGAAAUGCGUAGAUAUCGAGAGGAACACCGGUGGCGAAGGCGGGUCUCUGGGCCGAUACUGACGCUGAGGAGCGAAAGCGUGGGGAGCGAACAGG
RNAcentral lists this ribosomal RNA (254 nucleotides) under uncultured bacterium. Its description in RNAcentral is "partial 16S ribosomal RNA". It matches the Rfam family "Bacterial small subunit ribosomal RNA", at positions 524 to 776 of the family's 1533-position model. The record is from RNAcentral.